UGAAAAUUAGCCUCAACACUGAAAGCAUUUU
Molecule: non-coding RNA, 31 nt
Filed under: Rattus norvegicus (Norway rat)
Lineage: Eukaryota; Metazoa; Chordata; Mammalia; Rodentia; Muridae
Source: RNAcentral